This 1386-nucleotide ribosomal RNA is filed under the name uncultured bacterium. Its description in RNAcentral is "bacterial SSU rRNA". It matches the Rfam family "Bacterial small subunit ribosomal RNA", at positions 28 to 1381 of the family's 1533-position model. The record is from RNAcentral.
GAUGAACGCUAGCGACAGGCUUAACACAUGCAAGUCGAGGGGCAGCGCGGAGGUAGCAAUACCACUGGCGGCGACCGGCGCACUGGUGAGUAACACGUAUGCAACCUGCCCCAAUCCGGGGGAUAAGCUCGAGAAAUUGGGUCUAAUACCCCAUAUGCUGACUGAUCACAUGGUUUGUCAGUGAAAGAUUUAUCAGAUUGGGAUGGGCAUGCGGCGCAUUAGCUAGUUGGCGGGGUAACGGCCCACCAAGGCGACGAUGCGUAGGGGUUCUGAGAGGAAGGUCCCCCACAUUGGUACUGAGACACGGACCAAACUCCUACGGGAGGCAGCAGUGAGGAAUAUUGGUCAAUGGACGAGAGUCUGAACCAGCCAAGUCGCGUGAGGGAGGAAGGUCCUAUGGAUUGUAAAACCUCUCUUUGCUCGGGGAAGUAACCAAGCGGGACGUGUUCCGCGCCUGAGAGAAUACCCGGAGAAAAAGCAUUCGGUCUAACUCCGUGCCAGCAGCCGCCGGUAAUACGGAGGAUGCGUAGCGUUAUCCGGAUUUAUUGGGUUUAAAGGGUGCGCAGGCGGCGUGUUCAAGUCACCGGUCAAAGUAGCGGAGCUCACUCCGUAUCGCCGUUGAAACUGGUUUGCUAGAGUGCGUGCGAGGAAGGCGGGAAUGCGUGGUGUAGCGGUGAAAUGCAUAGAUAUCACGCAGAACUCCGAUUGCGAAGGCAGCUUUCCAGCACGCUACUGACGCUCAUGCACGGAAAGCGUGGGGAUCGAACAAGAUUAGAUACCCCUGGAAGUCCACGCGGUAAAACGAUGAUUUACUAGAUAUUCGGGCCGAUUAGGGGCCUGUGUGUCACCAGCGAAAAGCGUUAAGUAAUCCACCUGGGGAGUACGCCGGCAACGGUGAAACUCAAGAGGUAAUUGACGGGGGGCCCGCACACAGCGGAGAAACAUGUGGUUUAAUUUGAUGAUGCGCGAGGAACCUUACCCGGGCUCAAACGCCAAGAGACGUAAUCUGAAAGGGUUAUUUCCGCAAGGACUGUUAGCGAGGUGCUGCAUGGUUGUUGUCAGCUCGUGCCGUGAGGUGUUGGCUUAAGUGCCAUAACGAGCGCAACCCCCAUUUUCAAUUGCCAUCGGGUGAUGCCGGGCACUCUGGAGAGACUGCCGGCGCAAGCUGUGAGGAAGGCGGGGAUGACGUCAAAUCAGCACGGCCCUUACGUCCGGGGCGACACACGUGUUACAAUGGCGGGGCACAGAAGGAAGCCAGGCGGCGACGCCGAGCCGAUCCCGAAAACCCGUCUCAGUUCGGAUCGGAGUCUGCAACUCGACUCCGUGAAGCUGGAUUCGCUAGUAAUCGCGCAUCAGCCAUGGCGCGGUGAAUACGUUCCCGGGCCU